GCUGCCGGCCCAGCGCUUUGGGGAGUGACUUCCGGCCAUGCGGGGCCUCUACCGCUGCCAUCGCGGUCCCGGUCUCCUGAAGUGGAACCCGGCUUGGAGUCGAGCGCGACCCCUCGCCCGUGGGCGCAGGCGAUCGAGUAAGGGUGGGGCGGGCCUCAAACCCGGAUCAGAACCCGCCCUGACCGGCGCAGAGAUACGGGACGCAGCCGUGAGCACUGUUUUUUAUUUCACCAUGGACCCAUCGGCGUGGGGCGCCCGCCCCGGGUGUCCUUCCUCCCCCGGGCAGCCAGAUGCUGGAACGGGAGGCACAUGUUCCGGCCCCGGCCCCUGGGAAGGAAAGAAAGGACCUUCCCGUUUCACUUGUCUCGGCUGAACAUGUAGCGGAGGAGGUCGACCACCCGGUGACUGUAGCCAUAUUCGUUGUCGUACCUGUGGAGGAGGGGUCGGGAGGUUCAAGGGGGUUCCUUCCGACCACCCCUUAGUUCCCCUCCCUCUAAGUCUCCAGCUCCUUCCCCCUUACCAUGAAAUGAGCUUCACGAAAUUGUCAUUGAGCGCAAUGCCGGCCUUAGCAUCGAAGAUGGACGAGUGGGUAUCACCGAGGAAGUCCGUAGAGACGACCUGGAAGUCAGAAUUUCAAAGAUAAGUGUGUCCGGCAGAGCAAGGACCUCCAGGAGCUGAGGCCCCGACUCUUAACUCUAUCGCCCAUCCAUGCAUUCAUCUAUAAUAUUUGAUGUAGCCCUACUGUGUCCAGUCUCUGGACUGGAGGGUAUGACCAAGUGCAGGGUAUGACCAAGGCACUGUGUCAGGGUCUGGCCAAAGGGCACAGGUCACAAACACCCUCAUGCUGUACCAGUACAUCCCUUUCCUAGGAAUAAUGCAAGCGUUUGGAAUGGGCCAGCAUGGAGGGCCUCUCUGAGGGGUGGCCAUGAGCCUGGGUCUAGAUGACUAGAAAGAUCUGACCGGCUGGGGCCCUCAGCACAGUGUCUGAGGUAGAAGGAGCUGCAGGAAGGGAGGACCUGAGGGUUUUAGCCCUAGUGUCAUGAAAGGCCACAGGAGUGUUUUCAAUCCUGAAAACGGGUGAUGCAAUGUGAUUCCAUUAAAACAAAAGAUCCCAGUGACUGUGGGAAAGUGGACCUGCAGGAGUUAAUGCAGGGAGACAGCACCAAGGUGGAUGUACAGGGGUCCACCAUGACCAUGGCAUCCACUCCUCACAGAGAAGGCAUCUGGCCAUGGCCUGGCCCUGAGCAAGUAUUGAAAAAAAUGGGAGCUGUUGUCUUUUGUUCACUAAGCAUGUAUUAGUCACCUGCUGUAUGCCAGGUUGGAGCCACAAAAGUGAAAAGGCAGCCCCUAAAUCCCUGUUUUCUUGGAGUGCACACACCACUGGGGCCAACAGUGACUAUGAAAUGAAAUUUCAGGUGAGGAAUAUGGCCACAAAAAGAACAUAUUUUGAGGGGGUGCCUUGCUGAAGAGGGAGGUUCCUCCAGAGACUUGGAGGAAGUAAGGACAGACUGUAUGGUCACCUGGCAAGGGAAGCAUUCCAGACUAAAGGAACAGCAAGUGCAAAGGCCCUGAGGCAGGGAGAUCUCCCUUCCUGCCCUGCAGUUUCUGACUUGGCACAUUGAGAGCAGCUCCCUGGCAAGUGGAAAUCAUGUCCCUUCCCAGAGGGCUCCUCCCAGGGUCUCCUCUCCUCAGCCCCUACCUCAUCCUCGGUGUAGGCAAGGAUGCCAGCCAUGGGCCCCUUGGCUGCUGCUUUUACAGCCUCCUUGAUGGCUGAGUAGGGGGCAGGCUGGGCGAGGCGGCAGGUCAGGUCCACGACAGACACAUCCGGGGUUGGUACCCGGAACGCCAUCCCUGUCAGCUUCCUGGAGAAUCCCCCAUGAGGAACAGGAGUCAGAACUUAGGGACGUUGCCCUCCAUUCCCCCUUUCCCUGUGGCUGGGCCAGGCCCCUGCUUUCCUCUUAAGGACUGAGGGCCGGGCCAGUCCAGUCCUCCUGGCGUAUGCCCCCACCCUGGUUGCAGCUUCUUGUCCUCAUACCCUUUGAGCUCUGGGAUGACUUUGGUCACAGCUUUCGCAGCCCCAGUGGAGGCUGGGAUGAUGUUCUGGUGGGCACCCCGCCCAUCUCGCCAGGCCUUCCUUGAUGGCCCGUCCACUGUCUUCUGGGUGGCCGUGUAGGAAUGGACUGUGGUCUUGGGGAAGAGAAGGACCAAGAUGAGGCCUUCAUGCUCCUAAGCUCCCAUGCCUCUUUUUUCCAGGACUAAGUUGGUGGCCUAGGUGUGGAGGCUGGUGGGGCCACCACCACAGACCACAGGAGGGGAUGUGUGCAGGCCAGGGUCCAGCCUUGCCUGAGGGUUGCACAGUGUUUUAAGUGACUUCUGCACUGGUGGGCCUCUCCUCCCGAAACCAGUCUCUCCCUCUUAACUCCAUACAGUAAGCAAGGCCCGGGAAGAAGUUGGGUUUCCCUGCCAUCCUUCCUGCCCCAGCCCCUCAUCCUCAACUCACCAUCAACCCUUCCACGAUCCCAAAUCGCUCGUGGAUGACUUUGGCGAGGGGAGCCAAACAGUUGGUGGUGCAGGACGCGUUGCUGAAACAGCCAAGGUGUGCACGGACACUGUGAGGUGGUGACCUCCCCAACUCAGCCCUCAACCUCCUCAGAGGCGCCAAUGCUGACUGCUGUCAGCCAGCCCAGACCCUUUCUCCAUAUGCUGCCCGGGACGUGGACUCUGUGACUGUGAGGCCUGCCCGGCUGCUUUCUGCUUCCCAGCUCUGACAACCUCGCCAUGAACCCUCCUAGACCCUCAGCUCCUGCAAUAGGAAGCUGGCUGCCAAAGGCCAGGAGGGUCCCUGAAAACAGACACUGCAUUAAAGAAAAAGCUCCUGGAGGACUCCUGAAGCCUGAGGCAGCCUUGGGGCAGCAGUGGCUCAUGGUUUACAUUGGAAAGGUAAGGGAGGUUUCUGGUUUCCUGUUUUAUAAAUUUAUGUUUUUACUUGGUAUUUUGACAAACAUUUGUAUUUGAAGCACACUAAACAUCUAGUAUUGCCGUUUUCUACUUGGCUUUAGCAAAC
This 3064-nucleotide long non-coding RNA is filed under the name Homo sapiens (human). RNAcentral describes it as "TMEM147 antisense RNA 1". Lineage: Eukaryota; Metazoa; Chordata; Mammalia; Primates; Hominidae. The record is from RNAcentral.